AUAGAAUAGUCUCGAUACAAUUGGCGUGAACGUUUGAACCAUUAUUCAGUCACUUUUUUAUCAGAAAAAUCCUGAUACACGUGAGAAUGCACUGGAAGUGACCAAAAAAAAAAAAAAAUGUUACAUCACAUGCUUAACUGCUAACCCAUAACAUCGCUAAGUGUACGGGCGGAUAAACAAGCUGCUGAGUUGAAUACUUUUCGCAGCGUUUGAGGGGAAAACCCGCCCAUUUCGUGCGUCACUAACCUGCGUCACGGUUGUAGAUUGUCCACUGCCCAGUCAAUAGCAACCGGUAUUAAAACGAGAAUCAAUUAGAUACAUAAACAAAGGGGAAGGCGUGAUAGGCCAGUUUUAUGACCACUUUGCUUUCAUAAGCUCAGCGAGUUGCUAAUUAGAUGUAGGCUUACGUCUGUUAUGGAUGAUUCAGGAGUUAUUGGGAUCAGUUUCCAGUGGCCUAUUCAGUUCCCAAUAUAAGGCUUCUAACAACACUUAGCUGUUUAAUUUCCCAGGUUUUGUAUUACACUUUAGUAACAGGAGAAUGUGCAGAAGAAUCAUUUGCUUGAGGGGUGAAAGGAAAAGGUGGAGUGUGGGACUCCUUCAUAGGAAGCUGUCUGGAUGCAACAAGCAAGUCAUUAGUUGCUUCAGGGCAUGUGAUUUGGAUGAUGUGGCAUGUCACUGUUAAUCCUCUGGUUUAUGAAAGCCUUAUGUCCCACAUAAAAUGCACUCCAAUCAGU
This is a long non-coding RNA of Micropterus salmoides (largemouth bass), 734 nucleotides long. RefSeq lists it as uncharacterized. The record is from RefSeq and is a predicted model, not a curated record. NCBI's taxonomy places the organism in Eukaryota, Metazoa, Chordata, Actinopteri, Centrarchiformes, Centrarchidae. The transcript is spliced from 2 exons.